GCAGCUUGCUUCAGUAAUAGGUGCCCAGGUGGAGCUGCUGCUUGUAUGGACCUGUGUCUUGAGAUGGAAGGGCAGCCUCUCUGGGGAACAGUCCAAAGGGUCCCCAGACCUGACACAUCAAGAUUAAGACCUGAGGAUUUGGAGCUGAGUGAUAAGAAAGGAUGCUGGAGCUUUCCAUGGGUCCUGGAUCAUCAAUCCCAAAUCUGAAAAUAUUAAAGUUUUUCUGAAAAUUUAUGAAUCUCUGAGGUGAACUUAAUAACACAAUUGCAGAAUCUUGAAUCACCUGAUUUCCUAUCCUGGUUCCCACAGAACGUUCAUUUGGGUCUAAGGAGAAGGUCUUCUAAUGAUCCCAGAGCUGUCAUGAUAAUUAUCUACCACCACUUCAGGGAGAUGCUGUAGUAUAAAGUAGUGUUGGCUCUGCUAUUGGACAAACACAGAUGAAGAUCCUGGUUCCAUUGUUUACCAGCCCCGACUCUGGGCAAGGCUGCAGAAACACUGGGGGCACAGUGGCUCAAGGUUCAGGAUGGCUGAGGAAUAUGGUCCUGCUCCAGGCAAGCUGUGGGUACUGUAUUGCCCUGACUUGUGGAAACUGUUUUAAGCCUCCUUUCUUCAUUUCAUCAUAAAUUACCAUUAAGGUUGUCAUCAUCAUCACUAUGAUCAACUAGACAGAAGAAAAGUGGACAUCUGUCCUUUUCAUCCUCCUAACUUCUCCCCAUUCAGUCUUCCAUUAUCCAAAGAGUGACCAUCAGGAUGGGAAGGAGCUGAAUAAACUGAUCCCUCAAAGGUGGAGGAUUUUUUUAAAUUGAGGUGAAGAGACAACUCUGUCCCUUGGAAAUAAGGGAUGUUUAUCGAAGAGUCAACUCAGAGACCUCGUGGCCUUAGGUGUGGAAUACUUUAUCCUGCUUUCCAAAGCAUGUCCCUGCACGCACUAAAUUGGAGGAAAUUCCUUCCAGAACUCAAGCCCAGAAGGCUGACAAUGCUGUUGAUGGCAGUAUACUGAGUCAGCACAACCUUACCCACCGCAAUGUGUUUCUGAAGUGCAGGUCCAGCAGCUGUGUUAAACUAUACACUUGAUGCUUUAUGGGACCAAGGCAGAUUAGAUCAUGCAGAGAUGACCAGCCUGGGAUGAAAUGAGACAGGAGUCUUGCUGCUAAGGUAGGAGCAGAAUACUCAGGACCCAUGUGAGAGGAUCCAGAAGAGAAAGGUCAGUGUUAUGUGUGAAGACAGCCAUGGCUUCAACAAUACAGACAUUGCUUUCAUUGCAUGAAUGUAGUUGUCCUUGGGAAAUGGAAAGAGGAAGAGGAUUGAGGACAGUGAGCCCAGAAGGAACCUCAGAAUGGGGUUCCUAGGACCUUCGGAGCUGGCAGCCAUGAGGCUGCAGUAGCUUUUGUCAAGAAACAUCUGUGAUGAUGUGGGAAGGGAUGGGGGACGAGGAUACUUCCUAAUCCCCACUACUGGUGCCCUGGGUAGGGGAUGGGGGCACAGGCCCCAUCUGAACAAGCAAACAGCAGAGUUGGUUCCUGGAACUCUUAGCAGAGAGGGAGCUCUCUGUAGGUGACUUCAUGAUGUCAAUUUUGCAGGGCCUUCUGAACCUGCCCACGCAUGCUAGUCCCAUAGUCUUCAUGAGCAGUGGUUCUGGGGAACAAAAAGAGUGAGUUGAAUAAGAGUGGUAACACAGGAAACAGUCUCAGAAUCAUAGCAAGGCAGAGCUAACAAGUGAGUUUUAACAGUGAAAGGAAGAGAAAGCCUAGUGAGUAUUGCCAAAUGUAACAAAAAUCUCCACAUCCUCACAACUGAUGAUGGGAAAAGUGAGAACAAGUGGACAUAAUUUUGGUGGAGAGAUGGAAGGACCCUGUGCUGAUGAGAGGUUGUGACCUUCCUGUUGUGCUAUGGAGGGAUAGGAAGCAGGACCAAGGAAUACAAGAGGUAAAAAAGGAGGAUGGGCACCACUGGCACAGAAACCAUUAGAGGUCCUGCCUGAGCCAUCCCGAGGCCUUA
Long non-coding RNA from Mustela erminea (ermine), 1998 nucleotides. RefSeq lists it as uncharacterized. NCBI's taxonomy places the organism in Eukaryota, Metazoa, Chordata, Mammalia, Carnivora, Mustelidae. The transcript is spliced from 6 exons. The record is from RefSeq and is a predicted model, not a curated record.